RNAcentral lists this long non-coding RNA (378 nucleotides) under Suricata suricatta (meerkat). Its description in RNAcentral is "lncRNA (ENSSSUG00005009837.1)". The record is from RNAcentral. Lineage: Eukaryota; Metazoa; Chordata; Mammalia; Carnivora; Herpestidae.
CUGUGGUUCUCCCAGAGUGUUCUAGAUGCCCUGGGGUCUUGAGCCACUGCAGGGGGUCACCAGGCCCGGGAUCCAGACACAAAGCUAUCACGGGACACUUUCUCCUCCGCUGCUGGCUGUCACCUGCUCAGAAGAACCCUCCUGUCACCCCACCUAGUAUCACUGGAGAACAGCAGUGACAAGACCGGUCUGCUCAGAAGAAAGCCUGUCUCCCAGCUGCCCCCAGGCCGUUCCCACAGCAGCUCGGAUGGUGGGUCAGGAGGCUGUGCCCUCCCCUCCCUGGAACUCUGUCAAGUGAGAACUCAGUCAUCAGCCGGCCUCACAGGAAGCUUUCACAGGGACCACCCAGCUGUAUGACGGAAAGAUAACCCUUCACUU